RNAcentral lists this long non-coding RNA (8535 nucleotides) under Lynx pardinus (Iberian lynx). The record is from RNAcentral. Lineage: Eukaryota; Metazoa; Chordata; Mammalia; Carnivora; Felidae.
AGGAAGUUCUUCCUUGUGUCUAACCAGACUCUCUCUUGCUGCAGGGCCAGCUUGGAUGCUCCUCCUUGUGGCCAUUCUCUGGAGGUGAGUGUGCCAGGUUUGCUGAGCCUAGGAGUGGGCUGGAAAGCCCUCUUCCCCAGAGGUAGCGGAGGGUCUGGAUGGCGGAGGAGAGCCCAGAGGGCCGGCUCUGUGUUUGGUGAAUAAACAUGGGAGUCGGGUUUCUGGCCUGUCACUCUGCAGCUUUUCAGCGAGUGAGGGGCCAGGUGGGCCGGAGGGAGUUCCCGCGGCGGCACAUGAAGAGGCCGGGGCCUGCGGGGGCUGGGGCCCGGGCAGGGCCCGCUCUGGGCAGCCAGCGGAGCGGGCCUUUGCAGGCCACGGAACUUCACACCUUUGAAAGGCUCCAGAGCGGCACGCAGAGAAAAUAAACCGUUCCUCCCAUCCGUGGCAGGUCUGCCAUCCUCAGGGGCUCCCCGUCAUGCACACGGAAACCCUGUAAAAGGGCCCAGUGUUUCCUUUUCCACUCCCCGAAAGGAUGCGUGCUGAGCCCUGAGGACUGCCGGGGGUGGGUGACAGGGCUCUAUCCCGGCCAGGGAAGCCAGGUUCCAGCGCCGCUCCUGCUGGGAUAAGCCACCCCAGCUCUCCGAGUGUUGCUUUGCACAUCUGGAAAACAGGAAGAAAAAUACCUCCCUUUGAGUGUUAUUCUGCGUGUGUCCGACGGCAAAAUAGGGCAUAUAUGUGAACGCACCUAGCCCACAGUGGAUGCUUCAUCAAUGUGUCCCUCCUUUCCCCUCCCCAUAACCUAAAGCAAGUCUGAGUUCGCCUCAGAGCCUCGGUUCCCUGCUCUGUAAAGUGGGGUUCGUGCCUCCCUCGUGUGGCUUCCAUGAGACAAAGGGCCUGGCUUGCAGGGGCUCUCCAGCAGAAAUUUCUUCCUUGUUUCUUUUCCUCCCAUUCGCCUCCCCUCUGGGUGUCGGGGCAUCGCUUUGCAAAUGGGAAUGGCCAUGCCCCUGUAGGUCGAGAACACUCUAAGGAUGAGCGUAAUGCCACAGCACUGAUGGGCAUCGCUGUGCCACAGGGCUGUAGGAGAGGCUAGAUCUCAAAAGACUUUAGAAGGCAGCAGAUAGAAUACAAGGAUCGGGGAGUCCAAGGGAUACGAGAAUCCAUCUGAUACUCGGGCCUUGUCUCAUCGAGCGAGGGUUCGAAUGGUGGGAGCCUUGGGAAGAAAGGGAGUCCAAGGAGGGCUUCCUGGAGGAGGGCUCUGUCCAAAGCUGUGGAGCUUAGUCUUUCUUCCCAGGUCUAGUCCAUUGCCAAUGCUCGAGGCCCAGACUACUGCUGGCCCACAGCAAGUUGAGAGAUACCCCCAGAAGUGCCCUCUUUCUCCCACCUAGGUUUUUCAGGGCCGGGAGGAGACAGACCUAGGACCAAGAGGUGGGCAAAUGUGAGAGCAGAUCCCAGUGAGCUCUCUAGGAAGAGAGCCAGUUGUCUCCAGAGGUUGUGAGCUCCCUGUCACAGCAGGUGUCCAACAGUGGCUGGAAGGCCCUGUGAUGGUACAGAAGGGGGACCGUGGCACGAGGUGAAGGUGGGAAUAUCUGGGAGACAGGCUUUGGAGUCAGGUACACAUGGGCUCCAGUUCCAGCUUUACAGUUCACCCCUGUGUGACCUUGGGUUAGUCUCCUUCCUAAACUUUGUAAAAUCCCAAUUUCCUCAUAUGUAAAUAGGCAGUGAUUCCUACUUCAAAGAGUUGUUUUCAGAGAGUAAACGAGAUAAUGCAUGAAAAGCAUUUAGCAUGGUCAGAAACAUGUGGGUUCCCCUGCCCCAGCUGAGAGUCUAAGAUCAGAGAGGCUGAAGUUUGUGGGGGUUUAAGAUCCUAUACUUUGGGAUUCUGAAAUUCUAGGAGACUGAACACUUACAUAAGGCUUCCCCUGUGCUAAAUACUUUCUUAGGGACAUUACAAAUAUUCACUUGCUUAAUCUUCACAAUAACCCUAUACAAUAGGUACUGUUAUUACCCAUAAUCUAUAGAUGAGGAUGUAUAGACAGAAGGCUAAGUAGCCUGCCCACAUCACACAGCUGAGGAAGGGGUGGGGCUGGGCCUGGAUUCUGGUUCCACUGUCUGUGCGAUAGGAUUCUAAGAUCACAAGAUUCUAAAACCACUCCAUGUUUCUUAGAGCCCGGAGAAUUCAAUAUUAUGGGGCUUUUUAUUAAUAAUAAUGAACAUCCAGGGUGAGAAGGGAAGGUUCUAGAGCAGGAGUUGUUGAACUUUCUCUGUAAAGGGCUGAUAUCUUAGGUUUUGCAGGCCACAAGUUCUCUGGCAAGAGUACCCACCUCCACAGUUGUAGCCAGUAGCUAAAUGAAGGGUCUGACUGUGUUUCAAUAAAACUUUAUUCACAAAAACAAGUGGCAGGCAGACUGUAGUUUGCCGACUGCUGUUCUCAAGACACAGAUAAUACAUCUUCUGCUCUGCUGAGCACCCUGGUGAAGGCUCCCUUCAGGGCUGAUCCUCAGGAGAUCCCCGCUCUGCCCUGCUUUGGAGAGACAGAGGGGCCUGGGACGACCAUGCAGACUCCCGAGGGCGUGGGUGCCUCGCAUGUGGCUCUCUCUUUCUGUCCUAGAGAGGCUGUUAAAAAGGCUCCUCUCUCCAGCAGCGGAGCCUCAUUACUCAUGGGCUAGAAAACAAUGCUAACUUCCCCCAAAGUGGGAAGCAGUUGCACUUGUGAGCCAGGGCUCAUUUUGCUACAUGAAUAUUUAUGGCAUGUCCCCUAAUUAAGGCCAGAAAUAAAAUUUACCCUGCUCACGGGGGCCAGGGGAGACUGGAAAGCCGUGUCAGGAACCAGCUUCUUGUGCCUGUGAAGUAGGGUUGUCAUCGAAACAUUUGUGUCCACAGCCACUUGGCCUGGGUCAGUGUCCAUAGGAGUAGUGGGGGUGGGCGUUCCCAGGAAGGUCAAGUUCCCGUGGUGUGGUCAACAUGCUGGUGUGGGGGCCACCUGGUGGGUGACCAUUGCCCCAGAUCUGCAUGGGGUGACACAGAGGGGUCCUAGCCCUAGCAAUAUUAUUUUUCUUUAGUCGGGAUGACUCAGGUAUUUUGUGACUGGGCUUCCAAGGUCACUCUAGUGACAAGAGCUCAGAGAGGGAGGCCCUGGCUGGGUCUGAGUUCCUCCUCUGAUGCUGAUUGUGUGGGACCUGGGCUGCCCCACCAGCCUCCCCAGCCUCGGGUCCCCCAUUAUCUCUGUGAAGGAGGAAAUCCUCGGGCCACAGGAUCCUGGAGUUCUUGCUGAGAACCACGGGAGGUGACAGCAGGGAAAGCAUUAUGGGGAAUUGUUCCCACCACGGUUCUGGGGUUUCUUUUACCUAAAGGCACUCCUUCUCUCAAACCUGGGAAAGGAGGAAAGCUGGCUAUGCCCAGCCUUGAGUAACCUUGAGGGUUUCCGGAAACCAUAAAUCUCGGCUUUUCCUUCAGGGGUCCUAUCUCCAGAGAGCUGCCUGGGCCUCAUAUCCUUUUCCGAGGAGCCAAUAAACCAAGCAAAUACCAUAAAGCUCUUCGCUCCAGCCUGAGCUCUGCUUGGAGUCAGACCUGUAGUCCAGCAGCCGGCUUCAGAACACAACCAUCAGGUUGACCAGGAGUUCUCCCCCCUUCCCUUCCAGAAUGUAGCUUGCCUUUGACGCCUCUCUUCUGUCAGCUUUUCAAUAAUUGCCCUCUUAUAAUUGUUCACAGCAGCGGAGAGGUCCCACCUUGUGCCCCUGCCUCCACCUCCAGGCCGCUGGUGUAUACUGGGAUAAGGAGGGAGGAUGCUUUCCUAAGGUGGGUCCAGGAAUGUAAUAGUCCCAGGGCCUUGGCAAUUGGCACACCUCGUAAAUUCCAAAGUCAACAAGAUGUGGAAGCGGAGGGGACCCCCAGGCUGGAGAGAAAGAUGUGGCAGGGGUCAUAGGGAGGCUCAAGGGUAGCUUUGGUGCCUUCCAUCUCCCACACGAGGCCUGCCCCACCCUGGGGAGCCCUGGGACUUCCUGCUCUCACUCUCCACCUUCACAUCCUGAGCUCUGAUCUGGUUGCAACAGCCCAGACCCUGAAAGGGACCUAGAGGCCUUCUUUUUCACACCUUCUCACUGCAGAGAGGGAGGCUGCCAGUGUAGACAGGGUCUUGCCCAGGUCAGUAUCAGGGCAGGUAUGGUGGCAGUGACACCGGGCCGGGGUGGGGAGUUGGACUCAGGUUGAACCCAGAUCCUCAUCAAACACUGAGCCCUGAUCCCCACACUGUGGCACCCUGACCCCGCUGCAGAUUGUUGCCUCAGCUUGUAACCCACAGGUCACAGGACAGUGGGAGGAAAGAUCACAGCUUCCUCUGGCCCACCGCAACUACAGGAGCCGCUUACUGCCAUUUACAUCUGCCACGCUGUCUUCGCUGAGCAAGGAUGCCGUGUUCUUCUUACUGGUUCGGAGGUUCAGUGCAGAACACUUAAGCAGACGUGUGCCUUUGAGAAAAGUCACUUUACUUCUCUGGGCUUCAGUUCUCUCAUCUUUAAAACGGGAGUUAUCACGCUCCCCACUCACCUAUCCCCUCCGCUCCUUGCUAGGAUCAAAUGAGACGAUGAUUAAGAAGGUGCUUUGUCAGCGAAUGCUUUCGUAUCUGAGAGAGUAAGCGUUAAAGUCAUCCCUACUGUGUCAUCAUUAUUUGAUGUUUCCUCUCCCUCCGCCCAGCCAGAGGAUCUCCCAUGCCCCCAGAGACCUAAGUCCAGGAGCAAAUCUGUUGGUCAGGGGCCCCGAGGGAGGCCAGGAGCUCUGCUGGGAGACUGGAGAGGAACCAGAGGCUGAGUACACUUUGUUCUUGUUCAGGUCCAAGCCUGCCGGCCGGAGCUGGGCACCACGCGGUCCACACCUCCUCGUUUAGUGGUCAGACGGGCUCCCAGGUGAGUUCACAGGCCCUGGGUGUCCAGGCUUGGGCUCUGCCUACCCAGGCUUACACAGAAACCCCCACUCCACCUGAGAGGACACAGGAGGUUCUGGUGGGUCCAGACACCCAGCUCUCUGCCCUAAGCACUCUCCUGAUUUCCACCAGCUCUCAUGUUUGAGGAGGGAAAUGUGGUCUACACACUUUGGUUGAACUGCACAAAAGCUAUCACGAAGCUUUGUAAGAGCCAAUUGUGCUGCGUGUCCCGUUGGGGAAUCUUAGGCCUCUUUUGAAGGCCUUUUUCUCCCCUUUGGGAAAACAGGGAAUCAUGCCGCCCCAGGAGCAACCAACUUGAAAUCUUUAGUGCUUGCUUGUCCUCCCCCCCUGCCCCCCACAAUUGGAAAAGGCCCAAGUCGGUCUCCCCCAGAGCACAGCAAACCCUUACGCCUGGCAAUUAAAGCCCUCCAUGAUUUGCCCCAAGCUAUCUUGAUAGCAGGCAGCCCCUAGCAUCCAAUGAGGCGGGGGCCGUUUGCAGUCAGAACCCACCCGACUAUGAGCUUUCUUGCAGCCUCUGUUUACACUGUUCCCUCUCCCUGACUGCAUUUCAUCCCCACCAGUCCUGGAAUUUUAUCCAUUCUUUAAGAUCCAGCUCCAGCCCAGUCUCCGCCUUCCCUUGAUCGUUCUAAAUGAACGCAUUUCUGGCUGAGGAUUUGGUCCUGAGUGAUGACGGUAAAUGUUACGGAAGAACGAGUAAAUGAAUGGAUGGAUAGGAUGGAUGGGUGACGAGUUCAGAUAAGUUGUUAGCUCUAUAUUCUCUUUUUGCUUAUCUCUCUGCUAAAAUGUGCCAGGCUGAGAUUCUGGCACAUGCGGAGGGAGGUUUGACAACACACGAAGGAAUGAAUGUGCGGUGAACGGGUGAAUGUGGGCGUCCAUUUACAAAGCACGUACUAUGGGCCAGGCAGGGGCCCAGAGGCUGAUGUGAGCUGUGAAUAAGACGUGCUUUCUGUCCUCAUGCCCUUACCUUUGAGCUGAGGAGUCAGAGAGGUGCACAAUCCAUUACUUAUUUAGUUAGCCUUGUGAUAAAAUGCCAUGAGGGAGGAAAAUUAAUAAGUAAAUGAGUGAAUGUGUGAGGAAUGAGUGAAGACAGGAAUAAGCAAACAGAAUAAGGGAGGGAAUGAAUGUGCAAAUGGAUCCUGAGGAGCAUAAAUGAAGGAAUGAAGGCAUGAUGGAUGAAGGUUAAUCUUACCAGGGCAAGAAUCCAUGCCACGUGACCUGGUGUUUAUGGGCCCGAGGCCUAGAGGCCAGGGUUGCCCAAAGUCAGCCCCUCUCCUGCUUCCCUGGGGGUGGGGACAGCAGGCAGUGAGAGGGGGAGCCAGGCCUUGUGCCUCCCCAGGUAGCACCAUUUUUGCUAUCUAAGUACCUCCAGAAUGGAAAGUCCGUCUUGGAAAGGGCCGAAGACUUCAGCAUGUGGAAUCUAGGGCCUUCAGGAAGGUCUGAUUUUUGCUCAGUGCAUGGAAUGAACCUCAAAGCUUUUGCAGUCACACCCAAUGCUGCAGUACCCUCUGUGGUGAGAAAUCAGGGUCGGGAGGGGAGGGGUCUGCCCAACGCACACCAUCAGGGCCCUGACUGCAAGGCGCCUUAAGGAGUCUUUGCCGGGACCAUCAAAGGCCCUUUUUCAUCUCUGACCUUGCCUAAUCCUCUCCCCCGUGAGCCCCCCCUCCAGCUCCCUGGCCCCCUCCCUGUCCGACACAUGCAGCCUCUGCUCAGCUCGGAGCCUUUGGGCUCCUCGUUCCCUCUGCCUGGGAUGUACUCCCAGACAUCUGUCAUCUGGCCCUCUCACUUCCUUCAGGACUAUUCUCAAAAGUGACCCUAAGUCCUUCUGUGGCCAUCAUAUCUGUAAUUUUACCCCUGGCUGCUUCCUUCUGCAUCGUCUUCCCUAACUUUGAUUUUUCUUUAUAGCACUGAUCCUUACCUGACACACUCUACAUUCUUCUUAUUUAUUUUGUUUUGCAUCUCUUUAUCCUCCCAGAGGGCAGGGACCUUGCAUUGCUCUGUCCACUACUAUCCCGGCAGCAGGAAUGGAGGCUGCCGCUAAACAUGUUCUGCCCGGGGAAAUGAAGCAAAGGCUCAGAUCCAGCCUUGCCUCUCCAUCCAAAACCCACGGCCACUGUCUUUUCUUGCCUGGACACUGUGACAGCCUCCUCCCUGACCCCUCCCUCAGCCUCUUCCCUGACCCUGGCCUCCUCCUGACCCCUAGCUGCCUCUUUGGCCCAGAGUGAUCUUUCCUCUGUGACAAAUAUGACCAUAUCAUUCCCCUUCUGGAAACUCUUUACUGUUCCCCUCUCUUCUUUCUUCUUGACUCUGUCUUUCCCGACCUUGAAAACUAAAGAUCCAAGAUAACAUAGGAGAAGCGUCUGACGCAUGGCACUGAAUAAGUGGUAGUUGCCGUCAUCCCCCAAAUACUUGGGCACCCAGGUAGAGGGUGCGACGAGGGGGCAGUGGACUGUUUUAAGGUGUAGUGUGUGGAACAGCAUGGACAAGCACAUGGGAGUGGCAGCAGUGUGUCACGAACAGAGGAACUGUCGGUAGGCCGGGCUUGUUGGCACAGUGAUUUCAGUAGAAGAAUCUUGACCACUGGGAGGGAGAACGGGUUGGGUCAGAUCCCAGAAGGUAUUGACUACAAAACUGAGGAGCUCUGCUUAUGCUGCAGACUGUAGGACACCUCUGUGAGGAUCUUCAACAAAAUUCAACACGUUGCCCAGCACUGGUUAGGAGUCAAGUGUUACAGUGGGCACUUUCACAGGGAGUCUUCAGUAGGAUAUAACAAUCCUGUGAAACCUGUAUCAGUGUUCUCAUCUUACAUAUGGAGAAACCAAAAUCCAGAAAGGUUGGCUAACUUUCCCAAGGCAACCUACAGCGGAGGUUUGAACCCAGGCCUAGGUGACCCGAAAUCUUAGUAUCUAUUUUUAUCAUUCAGAGGCCUCGCACUUGUCAGGUGUUUGUUGGUUGAAUGCAAGCCUUGCCACAGGGUGACCCCAAUAACCCGGGGGCUGGUGACACUUAACCCCAACAGCCUUUCUGGUUCCCACAACAGCCUCCAUAGCUCCAAGCCGCGAAUCGGGCCUUCAUACAGCCUUUUGUGGACUUGGGAGUCAAGAAGAGAAUUCACAGUACUUUGGAAAACACAUUUUCUUUUAAAGAAGAAUUUUUUGUUUUCAUUUCAAACAGCCCUGGCUGGUGAUGAGUGGUGAGGAGAGGUGCCCUGUUUUCCAUCCUAACACCUAUUUCCAGGUGGGGGCAGGGAGGGCUCCAGCCCGAAAUGUUAUUUCAAAACCUUUCCGGGCCUUGCAGCUCCAUUUCCAGGCCACGUGCUACAAAGAAAAGCACGAUUUCCCAUUACGUCGUGUUGCCCUUUCUGGUCUGAGCACCUUUCAAAGCGGGAAGAGCCGGUCCGCCCCAGCGCACCCCCUCCCGUCCCCGUACAUGGAGUUUCACCGCCUGAUGGAGGGCUGGGAUAAACGGCCUUGCCGGGCAGCCGAUGGCCACACUCCUGAUAGGCCUGACUGCCAAGAGCAGCAAACUCCCAGCCCUUGAAGAGAUAGCUAGAAGCCGAGACCCGGUGUGAUGUGAGAGCUCCCUGCCUGCUCCCUGCCAUC